UCCAACUUCUCCACUAGAGAGUUGUGGAUGCUUUGGAGCUAAGGACUGGAACUGACAUGAGAGACCUCUACCAACUGAGGGUUUCAUGAGCACACUCCUUUGUCAAGAUCUUGGUGAAUAGUCUUUGACUGUGCAAUCGUGUCUUAGAAAUUGUUUUACUUGUUAUCAUGAUCGUGCUUGGCUGGAUGCUUUUUGUUGGAUUUGCAUGUUACUUGGGCACAUUUCCAGAGUUCGUGCCUCCAACUCUGAAGUGGAAAGAGAGAUGGGUUGUUCAGGAGAGCAAGACACACCUGAGGAGCCAGACUUUGAAUGAAGAUCUGCAACUGUGAGUGACUGUGACGGUCUCUUGAGCUGGAUUCCUCCCUUUCAAGACAACUUGAUGGCACUCGGAAAUGUCAAUGGAAAGUUUACUUUCCUCUGGAAAAUAAAAUGAACUGUGAAAUGGGAAAGAAUUUGAGGAGCACUGCUGAGGACAGCAAGCCCUUGUUCAAAGAUUUGUUAAUAACUAUACCUCCUGGGUAUUCUUUUCAAUGACUGUUCCACCUAUUAUUUUUUCCAUGCAGACUCUAUAAUAAAUUAGACCAGCAUUUUU
Odocoileus virginianus texanus is the source of this 592-nucleotide non-coding RNA. The record is from RefSeq and is a predicted model, not a curated record. NCBI's taxonomy places the organism in Eukaryota, Metazoa, Chordata, Mammalia, Artiodactyla, Cervidae.